GAAAGCACAGAGCAGGAAGGAGAUUUAGACACGGCUGGUUUACAGCCAGCUUUUUAAAGAGAAUGUCUUGUUGAACAAGUAAUAGUUUUUCCUAGUUAUAAUAUAUUUUAGGAUUGUGUAUGGAAGUAAGAGGAAAAAGAGAAGAUUUAGCCACAGAAGUUUUAUUAGAGAUGAAAAGAUAAGGAAGAGAGGAAACAAAAUUCACCUGAUAAUGUAAGUUCACACUUUCCUAAGAGACAAACAACUUCAUUUGGCAUCAUGUGCUGUGAUCAGAGGACUGCGGCUGGUGGUUCAGGGAUUUGUGACAUCAAGGAAAAACUGAGGCAGUAUAUGGAGAUCUGCUUCCCUGCCGCUGAUGUCACACACCAUCAUGCGGUCUCUUUAUUGCCAAAACACAACCUGGAUCCUGGAUGAUCAUUCAUGGCUGGAUCCUGUUCAUCAUAAUAUGCUUCACCAUUAAUGAUAUCACACACAGUCCUGCUGUAUUUGUCUUGCCAAAGCACAUACUGAGGAGUCUGUUUGACUGAACACGGCUGGAUCCUGUUCAUCAUAAUAUGCUUCACCAUUAAUAAUAUCACACGCCGUCCUGCUGUUUCUGUCGCGCCAAAACACAUACUGAGGAGUCUGUAUGACUGAACACGGCUGGAUCCUGUUCAUCAUAAUAUGCUUCACCAUUAAUGAUAUCACACACCGUCCUGCUAAUUCUGUCUCGCCAAAACACAUACUGAGGAGUCUGAAUGACUG
This is a long non-coding RNA of Clarias gariepinus (North African catfish), 744 nucleotides long. RefSeq lists it as uncharacterized. NCBI's taxonomy places the organism in Eukaryota, Metazoa, Chordata, Actinopteri, Siluriformes, Clariidae. The record is from RefSeq and is a predicted model, not a curated record. The transcript has 6 exons.